RNAcentral lists this long non-coding RNA (11954 nucleotides) under Zostera marina. RNAcentral's name for it is "long non-coding RNA (ZMAR_LNC004178)". The record is from RNAcentral. Lineage: Eukaryota; Viridiplantae; Streptophyta; Magnoliopsida; Alismatales; Zosteraceae.
UAUUUUUUAAAUAAAUUCCUGCAAUCAACAACAACAAGCAACACUUCAAUAAAUAAACAAUCAUUCAAACAGAAAAUUAAAUACUCUAACAACAACAAUCAAAAACACAAAUUAAAAUAGAAAAUUAAAUGAAAUUCAAGUGUUCAAUCCUAGCUAGCAUCUUGCAUUCUUGGCUUUCUUGCAUUAAGCUUUUGGAUUCUAUUCGAUCAAGACUCGGUCUCGAUAGUUUCCCCCCUUCGACUCGGAGUUUUCCAUCGGAACCUAUUGAGUAUUGAAGAAAAAUAAUACAAACAUUUAAUUAUUUAAAUGAAGAAAAAUAAUACAAACAUUUAAAUAAAGAAAAAAAAUAAAAGCGAAUAUAGUAAAUCUGACUCUAAAUGUAGUAAUAGUAGGAAGCCAAUCCUUUGUACAUAGUAAUGCUUCAACAAUAUCAGAUUUCAACGAUGAUCGUGAAUCUUCAAUUAUACGUCGACCCCAACUAAAAGCGUUCUCUGAAGCAACUGUUGAAACUGGUAUAGCAAGGAUAUCUAGUGUACAAAUCAAAGCAUUUGAAGUUGGAUUGCCUUCUUUCUCUUCAGUUGUAGUAGUGGCCACCUCAAUCUGAUAUGAAUUAAAUAUCUCUUUCAAUUUGUUUUGAAAUUUCAGCAGCUCUGUAGAAUAUGAAUUGCCAUAAAUUUCUUCAUAUCCUAAUUCUACAAAGUCCAUCUUGUAUCGUGGAUCCAAUACUAAACCAAUUGUCAAACAUACACCACACAAACUCCAAUACUUGUUAAAUUUGCUUUCCAUUAAAAGAGCCAUUGCACGGAUUCGACCAUCUUCAUGAUCCCUCCAACUGUUGAUAUAAACAUUGAUCCGAUAUGGACAAGUAUACUGAGAGCCAAAGAUGAUAUCAAUUUAUGCUACCCUGCAGGGCUGGAUUGCACAGUCAACGGUAGUAUAAAAACGAGCCUCUUAAGAGCAAAACUAUCACCGUCAGCCGUCGUUGAUCCUCUGGCUAUAGGAGUGUGGACAUGCCGUACCUCAAAGAUGACCUUCUGUCUAUGGAGAUUAAGAUGGGGCAAGCUAAAAACAUUCGAUAAAUUGAGGUCGUGGGGGAUAGUGGUUCCAGCAAAGUGUGUCCUAUGUGAUACAGUUGAGGAAACGACAGCUCAUUUAUUCUUCAAUUGCGAAUUCAGCUGGUCUCUUUGGAACGAAUUUAUAAGGUUGACAGAUAACGCACUAUGGAAACUUAUGGGUAUCACGGAAAUAAAGCUAGGAGAUAUAAGGGUGGGUGAUAUCAUGGAGGGGAUAUCCAAAUUCAGGAAGUCAGCACCAUGCUGGGGGCUACAUUGAAAUGCACUUGCAGCGUUUAUAUGGCACCUUUGGAGGGAGAGGAACCUACGACACAAGGAGGGACUCUCUCGACCGGUAAAAGUCGUGGCAAGGGAUUUUAUACGAGAUUUGGCUAUUAUCUAUGAUUAUCGCAUAUUUAAAAAAGCGCAUAGGUUAAGUUUGGAGGACACAGCUAUCAGAAGGUGGAAGGAAGCCUCGCUAUUGGUUACGGACUUACAAGCCGAGGAUUAACAAGUUAUACCUAUUCCACACAUCCUAUCGUACUUUUAGUUGUUUAAUUAAUUGUCUAUCUUUCUUAAUAUCGUAGAUUGUAAUUCCUUUUAUUUUACUUUUAAUAUAAAUCGCUAUUAAAAAAAAAAAAAAGAUAUAAACAUUGAUUCUGAUAAUAUCUUUGAAGUAAUAAUUUGUUGUUGGAUACUUUGUUCCAGAUAGUCUGUUAGUUAUCUUGUAAAAGAUUUUCAAACCAAGGUUCCGGAUGCGCCUCUGCGCGAUGCGCCGCCGCCUGGAGCAUCUGAGCAUAUGCGCUCAGAUGCGCCAGUGACAUUUUCGUAAAUAUUUAUAAAACUAUAGGAAAUUAAUAUUUUUUUAUAUAUCUAAAUUAUAUUAAUUAAAUUUUUUAGUUAAAAAUAUAUUGGAUAGAAAAAUUAUUAUAAUACAUCUAUUUAUUAAUUAUUAUAACACCCUAUAAUUCAUUGUAACACCAAGGUUUAAAAACCGAUUAAUCAUUUAGGGGUAUUUUCGUAAUAAUAUAACUCUAUAAAUGGCUAGGGUUUCUUUAAAUUUAUAAAAGAUAGGCUUUUAUAAAAAGAAAAUAAUAAAUAACCCAAGAGGCUUUUAAAAAAUAAUAACGUAAUGGGCUGGGCUGGGCCUUCUUUAAUACAUCUACAACAUAAAAAAUACUCUAUAAUAAUAAUUUAUUUAACCACACAUUUUUAGUCCCACAUCGAUAGAAUUCAAAAAACACAAAGAAGGUUGGUCUAUAAAUAAAGAUUCAUUUUGUCUAAAACAAAUAUGAAGUCUAAAGAGUGGGAGGAGCUUAUAUUAAAAAUAAUAUAACUCUUUUCAUGGACCAAUGUAUAAAUUUUUAUGCUAAAAAUUUAUAAGGUCUUAAAAUAAAUUUUUUUUGCCUUUUUUUUUAAAUAAAAACAAAACACUGUUUUAAGUUAUUUAAAUAACUUAAAACAGGCCUGGAUCCGGGUCGGAUUUUACCCGGAUCCGGCUAAGGGAGAUGGCGCAUCUCCCUCUGGGGGCGCAUCAUCGCAUAUGCACGCGCACCCGGAACCUUGUUUCAAACAAUUACAAAUCUUGGUCCCCAUUUCCCAAUCCUCAUUGCUUGGAGCAUCUUUGUAUUCUGGGUCUAAAUUACCUAAUCGGUCAAAUGCAUCUCUAACUUGCAAAGCAGAUUCAAACAUCAUAUAUGUUGAAUUCCAACGUGUUUCAGUAUCCAAACUUACCUAGUAUAAGAAGAUAAAUAAAAUCAACAAUUCAACACAUAUUAAAUCAGCAAUUAUUAAAUUACCUUUUUAUUGUCAGAAAGUCUAGUCUGGCUCAAUGCAAGUGUGAAUUUUUUAUUUCUAUAAACAGAGGAACCAAUGUAUUUGACGUUUUUCCUUAUUUUUUCAAUCAAAGACAAUAUCACAUCCAUUCCAUUUCUGACAAUAAGGUUGAUUAUAUGAGCAUAACAAGUUAACAACGUGUGUGGAAAAAAUCUUCAUUAAGAAGAAGAUAGUUUUUACUAUUCAACCAAGUUUUCACAGACUUGACCAUCGGUUCGUUAUUACUAGCGUUGUCCACGACAAUAGUGCAAAGCUUCUUGUCGAUAUUCCAUUCCAAAAUUUUGUGUUUUAGCCAAGAGGCUAGGACUUCUCCGGUAUGUGGACAUUCGACAAAGUUGAAAGCAAGGAUUUUUUUGUUCAACGUCCAUUUAUCAUCAAUAUAGUGGUUAGAAAUGCAACAAUAUCCAAGAUUCUGAUGAUUAGGAGCCCAUCAAUCUGUAGUCAAAGUAAUCCUAGAUGAAAGACCAUCCAAGAUAUUAUAUAGAUGGGUUUUUUCUUGGUUAUACACUUCCAUUAAAUCAGACUUCACAAUCACUCUAGAACGAAACUUGUAUGUGGGAGAAACAUAAGCUAACCACUGUUUAAAAUACUGAUGCCAGCCAUUAUGAAUGGGUAAUCAUGCAUGAUGCAUCGCAAGCAUUUUUACAAAUAAAGUCCUCUCAACUUGUAGAUCAAAUUUAUAACAUCCAAGAUUAUUUCCUGAAGUACUAUUUGAACCUGAUAACAAAGCUUGUCUAAUAUCAGCCCUUGGUCGUCGUCUGCAAUUUUUAAUGUGUAUGGCUAAAUGCGAAGUCCCUUUAGUACUAUCACCAUUUGUUUUGUGAGGGCAAUGCUUGCAUUGAGCAAUGACAGACCCAUCUGGAUUAAUCACUCUUGUAAAAUGUUCCCAAACAGGAGAUGUCAAACAUCUUCUUUUUCUUGGAUUAUUAACACUAUCAUGAGUAAUUGCAUCGGUAUUUGAAGAUAAGAUAACUAAAUCAUCUUCAGGUGGGAAAAUAUUUUCUUCAGCUACAUUUUUAAUACAAUCCAUCGAACCCUAAUCUACAAAUCUGCAGUGAAAUAGAAAGAUUAGAUGAUAAAAAUUAAUGCGACCCAAAACCCCUAUAAAACACGACGAAAUCUCAAAAAGAAAACCCUAGAAUAACAGUUUAGAUCAUACACCAAGUAAACAAACCAAGAAUGGAAAUAAAUGCAAAUGUAUAUCUUUGUGGUUUUGUUUACCUGAGAAAUAAACAACGGCGGAGCAAGAGACUCGACCAGCGAGAAAUCCUCUUCUUCUUGAGGCAAGAUAGGAAUUAGGAAGGAAGAGAAAGAAUCUUCAAUAUUUGGGCGCCGACGGAGUGGGGGGGGAGAAGAACCCUAACUUUAAAAUAUUUUAAUUUUUAAGUGGGAGACACCAGACACGGGACUACGGAGUCUACGGGAGUGUUAAGUUAGUGAAUAAGUUUAUUAAUAUUUUAAGUUUUUAACUUUUAGAUUUAAUAAGUUAAUAAGUUAGGUAAUUACUAAUUAGUUUAAGAGUUAAGAGUCUUAACUUAAGACUUUAAGUGUUUAAGUGUUUAAGUUUAAUGAUUAAUAUUAUUAUAUUUAUCCGGAUAUUCGGAUGUCCGAAACCGAAAUUUUUAAACGUAUUUUAUCAGCGGAUUUUUCGGAUAUCCGAAUCCGACCGAAUAAAAUCCGGAUUUCAAUUCAAAUAUCCGAAUCCGAAAAAUCCGAAUCCGAAUAGUCAUAUUCGAAUUCGAAUACGGAUUUCGGUAUACCAUUUACAGACUUAGGCCUCACAACCUUCUCUAUAGAAAGUCAUCACACUCACAUCAUGAGGGUUGUCCAUCACCCAUGAUGUGAGUAUAAAUAUGAUGGACCUCACUUGGGAAGGCACUUUUUGCAUUAUUAUUUCCUCAAGGUAUUAUUUACCUCUUUUUCUGGAUCUACUUUAUUUCUACUGUUCUUCUUAAUUCUCUCCCGAUUUAUUGGCUAUUUCCUCCCAUUCUAGUUUUAAUCUCUCUUGUUCUUCUUAGUGAAGUCCAAGAUUUACACCCACACUAUUCUCUAUCCGAUUGAGAAUCAAUAUUCUCACUCGUUCCUCACUGAUUUGCAGUAACUUCUACAUUACAAUCCAUUCCCAAUAUCACAUCGAACUCCUUCUUUGCAAUGGUAUCAAAUCUGCUUGCAGUCGUUGUUCCCCCAUCACUACCUCGGUCAUCGGAAAAUAAUUUGUUUGUAUCGUGUAUCCGCCCAUUGGUGCACGCACCUUCAAUGACACUCGUAGUUUGAUCGGUUGUCGUUCCAAUUGCUUGGCUAGGUCCUCGGCUAUAAACGAAUGGGUUGAGCCGGUGUCAAACAACACUCGGCCCACAUGACGAUCGAUCACUACUUGACCUAUCCAUAUUGACACACCAUCCACAAGUCGUCAUUCAUCAUCAGUCAAGAGUUAAUCAUCAUUAUUUUAUUUUAUUUUUUUCAAAUUUAACAUAACAUAAAUAAAGUAAAAUAAAAUAAAAUAAAUCAAAUACUCAUUCAUACCGGUUACGACAUCGUAUUGUUUCUCUGCCUCUUCCCCGGCUAGUGUGAAAGCCUUGGCGGUUGCAUGCUUCCUCUGUGCCUCUGCCUGCUUAUGUGGACAGUCGCGCACCCGGUGUCCCAUCUUCCCACAUGAGAAACAUCCUCUGGUCACGCUGCGACAUGCCUCCCCCGGAUGAUAGUUGGAACAGGUCUCACAUUUCCAACUGCUUCGCCCCCACCCGAACUUGAUGGUGCCUCAAUUCUAACUCUCUUAUUACCUCCUGUCUCAGUUACCUUCCUCUUGUUUUGGCCUCUCACAUAAGCCUCAUCUAGCCGGUGUGCAUCAUCAAUGGCAACAUCCAGAGUGGUGGGCUUGCUUGCGAGUACUCUCAGUUCCAAGUGAAACUCCAAACCUUGGAUGAAUUUCCGUACUCGAUCGUCUUCCUGCGCACAGAGUUGGGGAAAAUAUUUCUCUUCCUGGAUGAACUUGCCCGCGUAUUCAUCCACAAUCCGUGCUCCCUGCACCUAGUCCCUGAACUCAUCCUUCAUUUUUUCCCGUUUGUGUAACGGAAAAUACUUCAUCCUGAACUCCUCUCGGAAUUCUUCCCAUGUCACCUCAGUACUCCCUCGAAAACGAAUGUCCCGCGUACUAAUCCACCAAUCGUGGGGGCAUCCUCUUGCAGUAGGUAAGUGCCGAAAUCCACCUUGCGCUCUUUUGGGCACACGAUUAGUCUAAAAUUAGUUUGGACUGCCUCCAACCAGUUUUCAGCAUCCUUCAAUUGGUCACCUCCUAGGAAUAUCGGUGGCGCCACUUUCAUGAAGUCCAUCACCGUGAUAGGCUUAGCAGUUAACAUCCACUGGUGCUUGCACCGGGUUAGUUUUUCAAGCUCGUACCAUCUGCAUCAAUUCAUAAAAUACAUAUAAUACCCAUAUACCACAACUGUUAUUUCCUUAAACUAUGAAUUCUUUUAUUUCCCUUAUUACCCCUCCUUUACUAUAACACUAUUUAAACCCAAUACCCUCUUUUUAAAACCCUAAUUAUUUUCUGUCUCUUUCUCAUCUCUUUGACCUCACCUCGUCGAAACCGCCGCUGACCUCACCGGAGCUUUACUUUUUUGGUUGUUUUUCUCCCCCCAAUCUGCUCUCCUACUUUUUUUUUGAAGCAAUUAAAUUUCAUUAAAAAUAAGGCUAAUGCCCAGUUUACAAAAUAGAGUAUAAAAAUAAAAACAGAAGUAAAAAGAAAUGAGCAAGAAGCUCAUUGACUCUCUCUCAUUAGCUAUGUAGUCUAGUUAUAUAGUAACUAGAUACGUUGCCUUAAGAGGUUGGUCUCUCAUACUUCCAUCAUAGAUGUCUCCAAAGGGUGACAACAGUUCUUGUAAUACACUCAAAGGAGAGACUGAUGUCUUUAAUAACCUCUUUAAGGAUUACCUCAGGAGGCUCUACUCUCCUACUUGUGGUAAGGUUUUCUUCACUUUUUUGAUCAUUUUCCCUUCCUUCAAACCGUCUGAAAAAGGAAAAAAAGAUGGCCGGAAUCCGGCCUGUUUUGUCGGAUUCUGGUCAUCCUCGAUUUUUUGUGUAAUGAUAUUUAUGUGCAUAUUUUAUUCUAUAUUUACAGGAUUUAAAAAAAUUAUAUAGGGGUAUAUAAGCAAUUUUCGUAAAAAUGCCACUGACGCUUUAAGCGCUAUAAAGCACGCUAAAAUGCCCGAGGCGGAAAAAGUGCUUCCUGGAAAAUGGAAGCACUUUCCUCUUUUUUGAACCAUGGUUCUGCCUGCGUAAGACAAACAUCUCCCUUUCCAUCUGGCUAGCAUUUUUUCUAUUGGAUUUAUCAGCUUCCAACAUGUUGCAUGAGAUGUCUUUCUUCCUGUCAUGGGGGGACCAAGAUAGCUAAUAGGGAGGGAUUUAAUUGGGAAGUUGAGAAUGUUAUGAAGAGAAUGGCCAUUCAUGCAUAUUUUUUAGUAGGUUGCUGAGCUCUUCGAUCUCCUGAUUAAUCUCGAAGCCUGAGAAUUUGGAAAAAAUCUCUAGAAUUUGUUUGAUUGUUUUAGAGACUUGGGAUUUGCCUUUGAGAAGAUCAGCACAUCAUCUGCAUAGAUGAGGUGUGAGAUGGAAACCGCUUCAUUCACGAUAUAAGUAUCCAUCCUCUUAUCCUUGAUCUCUUUCUCUAUUAGUCUGCUAAGAUUAUCCAUUACCAGGUCGAAUAAGAUAGGAGACAAUGGGUCCCCCUGCUUGAUUCCUCUAAAAUUAGUGAAAGGGGGAGUGUGAGAUCCCUCAACCAAUACCGAGAAGGAGGCUGUCGAUACAUAGUUAUGUACCAAUUUACACAACAGAGGGUUGAAUCUCAUUGCGUCAAGGGUGUGUGUGAUUGCUUGCCAUUUCACUGUAUCGAAAGCCUUCUUGAGGUCGAUACUUAGGCAACAACUUUGGGGGUUCUAAUUCUCCCGAAGCCAUGUACCAUCUCGUUUGCUAAGAUGGUGUUUCCAAGGUUCGGGAUGCGCCUCUACGCGAUGCGCCACCACCUGAAGAAUUUGAGCUUUUGCGCGCAAAAGCACGUCUUUGCACCAGUGGCAUUUUUGUAAAUAUAUAAAAAUAAGGGAAAUUUAUAUAUUUUUUAUAUAUCAAUCCUAAAAUACAAGCAUGCCAAUAACAUAAUCAAUUAAAUUUUUUAGUUAAAAAUAUAUUAGAUAGAAAAAUUAUUAUAACACCCUAUAAUUCAUUGUAACACUAUAUUUAUUUAACACAUGUACACUUUAUUUAGUCCCAUAUUGAUAGGAUAUAAAAAGUACAAAGAAUUCUAUAAUUUAUUUAACACAUAUACACUUUAUUAAGUCUCAUAUUGAUAGAAUUCAAAAAUACAAAGAAUACUUAAUAAUUUAUUUAACUACACUUUUUUAGUCUCAUAUCGAUAGAAUUCAAAAAGUACAAAGAAGGUUGGUCUACAAAUAAUGAUUCAUUUUGUCUAAAACAAACAUGAAAUCUUAUGAGUGAGAGGUGCUUAUAUUAAAAAUAAUAUAGCUCUUUUCAGUUUUCAUGGGAGUUGGGAACAAUGUGGGGGAGAAGAGAAACCCUAGGGAGAGUUUUGCAUUUUCAGAAAGUCUAGAAACGCAAAACCCUGUCUGUUUUAAUUUAAAUAAAAAAAACAGACCCGGAUCCGGCUAAGGGAGAUGCGCCUGGCGCAUCACCCUUUCAGGUUGCAUCCGCGUAUAUGUGCGCGCAUCCUGAACCUUGGUGUUAUCUGAGAUGUUUCUUCCCGCUAUGAAAAUUGUUUGGUGAGGGGAUAUUAACUCAGAGGAGACCUUGGAGAUUCUGUCAGCUAAGAUUUUAGUGAGAAGUUUGUAAAUUAAGUUGAAACAAGAGAUUGGCCGAAAGUCUGAUAGUUCAGUAGCAGUGGUUUUUUUUGAGAUUAGUGUGAUAAAGGUGUGAUUGACCAAUUUCAAUAUGGGUUUGCCGUUGAAAAACUGUCUGACACAAGUUAGGAUUGUUUGCUUUAGUUUCGGCCAGAGAGCUUUGAAGAAGCCCACUGUGAACCUGUUUGGUGAGGGGAUAUUAACUCAGAGGAGACCUUAGAGAUUCUGUCAGCCAAGACUUUAGUGAGAAGUUUGUAAAUUAAGUUGAAACAAGAGAUUGGCCGAAAGUCUGAUAGUUUAGUAGCAGUGGGUUUUUUUGAGAUAAAGGUGUGAUUGACUGAUUUCAAUAUGGGUUUGCCGUUGAAAAACUGUCUGACACAAGUUAAUAUUGUUUGCUUUUGUUCCGACCAGAGAGCUUUGAAGAAGCUCAUUGUGAAACCAUCAGGUCCUGGGGAUUUCCCCAUUUGAAAUGCGAAUAACGUGGAUUUAACUUCCUCCUGUGGGUUGUUGAGUCAACCAUAUGUUCAUAUCUUGAGAUACAAUCCUAGGGAAAAUAACGGGUGUUGGGAUAUCUGAGAAGGGAGGACACUUGCUUCUCUGUUUGUGGUUAGCCUCCUCAUUUGUGAGUUUAUUGACUAACUCCUCCCGUUUCUUUUUGACCUCUUCUUGGAUAGAAGGGGCUAUUGGGUUGGUGUUUAGUUGCUUCAUUAAGGAAUCAAGUUCCUCCCUAGUGGUUGUGAUCUGUUUUGCAUCACUACCCUUGGCCGCCGCUCAUUCCUUUGUAAGUAAUUUGACCUUUUUUAAUUUCUGUUGUAGGCAAUAUAACCCAUUGCCGCAGAUCGGCUUAGCUAGUCCUCUCCUGGCUAGGUCGAGAAACUCUUGCUCCUUCAACCAAGAAUCGAACAAUCCGAAAGGAUUUGGUUAAUGUGCCAUUUGUGCAAUUGAGAUAAACAUUACAGCAUGGUGACUACACGAGCUAUUCCAAAACUCUACCCUUAUCUCUGGGAAGAGUGAAAUCCAAUCUUGAUUCGAGAAGUGCUGACACAUGACUGUACACCAAUCACUCCCGUCAACAGGGACUAGGGUUCCGUUCGCUAUAUAUCGGACCCCCGGAAGGCUCCCACGAAAGCGAAACUAAAGUCUUCGUCGAAGACCCGAAUCAACUCUUCAAAUCGCUGAUUUGGGCGGCAAAUCGCCAGAGUCUGGCAGACUGCCGAUCUUCUCCUUUGAACUUGCCGAUUUCGUCCCCAAAUCGCCAAUUAAGUGAUUCAAGCGCUCGAGUAAUGCAAACAAACGGUUGUUCGUCGCUUCAUUGGUAGAGGUUACAAGGACCCCAACCAUAACAUUGUUGAGGUUUAUGUAGAAUUAUUGGGAGUUAUAAGUGUUAAUGGAGACUAUUUAAUUGGUACCCUUAUUGGGCCAAUUAUAAGUCAUUAACUUGGAAUGGGCCCAAGUUAAUUUUGACACUAUAUAUAAGCUAUUAAACAAUGAUGAAAACCUAAUGUCAUAUAAUGGUGAUACAGUAUCUCGAACCCGGUCACAACUUACCAGCAACUAGAAGUCCGAAUAGCCUAAAAUGGGUUGAGGUACCUAUUCUAGGGUUGGGGAAGUCCCAAGUCGAAUCCUAGGAAGAUCAACUUUCCUGAGGAUCGACUUCCCUGGGAUCGACUUCUGAAUAAAGUCGAUCACCAGGAAAGUCGUUCCCCAGAAAGUCGAUCUCUGGAAAGUCGACCUUGGGCCUCGAUCUGAUCAGUUAGGCAGUUAGGCGGUUACUGCCCAAAUGACCAGAUUACCCCCAUAAGAAUCCCUAUAAAUAGGAGGCAUCCCCCACUCAUUAAAGGCAGGUCAUUUGGAGUGAAGAAGUCCUAGCGAAGCGAAGCUCUGCGCACUUGAGUUCUGGUCCGAUUUCCCGCGGAGUUCCCCGCCUAGCGCUUGCUGGAGCGUCUUGGAGCACUGGUCGGGUUUCACCCUUAUCACAUAAAAUCUUGUAAUAAAAUAGCUACCAUCAAUAUAUCACCCGUGGAUGUACACCAUUGUUAAGGUGAAACCACUAUAAAACCUAGCUUGUUCUUCUUCUCUAAAUUUUCUUUCAUGCAACAAGAGAGUAGAGAGCCACCUUAGAUCAAUGAGGGAGAGUUCCAGAUCUGAAUCUGGAAAAGUGCAAUCAGUAAAUUGCAAUAACAAACGCCUUGCUGAUACAGAAGCUCCAAGUCGUACUCUUCCAGCAUCGAUUGUGUCAUUUUCCGAUCAAGGUUAAAGAAGGGGAGGAAGUAACUGUUAUAGCCCGAUUGGUCCUCUUAUAUUCACAAUUGGACCAAUCGAAUCUCUACAGCACACAUCGCAAAACCCCGCGACUCCUAUGACAUGGUUUGCAUGGGCACGUUCCACCUGUCCAGCUACGUGUCGAGAACUAGUUGAUGGGCUUGCACUAUAAAUAAUUGGCUCAGCAACACUCGAGAGGGCGGCUUUGGAUUACACCAUUUCACACUACUUUGUACCACUCCAUAUCGCACUCCAAUCUCAACCACCUCCUCAGAUUCCACCUUUGACAAUUUAUCUAUUUGUAACGGAUAUUCCGUUACAAAUAGUUUAAAAUCCGUUACAAUAUUUUCGUUAAAUUUGAUAUUAGGUAUUUUUAACGAAAAUUAACAAAGAUAACAGAUAUUCUGUAAACUUUGAUUAUAAGUAUUUUUAACGAAAAUAUCGUUAUCAUUGCUUCGUCCAAACUACCUACUAUUUAUUGUAGUGUUAGAAGAUAUUUUUUUUACUAUUUUAUAGAUUAUCUAUGAAAAUGUCCAUUAAAAUUUCAAAAUAACAUUGGAAAAAUUAAAUGAAAAUAAAUAAAUAAACAUUUACCUUUUUAACUUUAAAAAUUUAAUGUUUCCAUAAAAUAUCAACAAAUGAUGAUCGAACAAAAUUUGAUCUGUACAUCACAACCGCAAGUUUAGUAACAGAAUUUAAAUAAAAGACUGAAACAAGAAAAUCUAUGUCGUUGGACGAUCCACAAAAAAUUAGACACAAAUCAAUAUAUAUAAUCAUUAAUCAUUAUCAUUUGUAGAACGAUCCACAAAGAUCAACAGAAUGAUCUACUCUAGAACGAAAGGAAAUAUCAUUAGAUUUUCAGGUUUACCUUUGCAAGUUCACAUCUUUAGAGUAUCGACGGAUUUGACCUUUUACAUAACCGUUGCUCGAGUUAUGCAUAUGGAUGUUGGAGAUGUUAAAG